Small nucleolar RNA from Nannospalax galili (Upper Galilee mountains blind mole rat), 65 nucleotides. The record is from RefSeq and is a predicted model, not a curated record. Lineage: Eukaryota; Metazoa; Chordata; Mammalia; Rodentia; Spalacidae.
UUUCUAUGAUGAAACAAACUAGCUCACUAUGAUUUAACAAUGAAAUUAUGUGAACACCGAGAAAC